ACAUGCAAGUCGAACGCACAGCGAAAGGUGCUUGCACCUUUCAAGUGAGUGGCGAACGGGUGAGUAACACGUGGACAACCUGCCUCAAGGCUGGGGAUAACAUUUGGAAACAGAUGCUAAUACCGAAUAAAACUUAGUAUCGCAUGAUACCAGGUUAAAAGGCGCUACGGCGUCACCUAGAGAUGGAUCCGCGGUGCAUUAGUUAGUUGGUGGGGUAAAGGCCUACCAAGACAAUGAUGCAUAGCCGAGUUGAGAGACUGAUCGGCCACAUUGGGACUGAGACACGGCCCAAACUCCUACGGGAGGCUGCAGUAGGGAAUCUUCCACAAUGGGCGAAAGCCUGAUGGAGCAACGCCGCGUGUGUGAUGAAGGCUUUCGGGUCGUAAAGCACUGUUGUAUGGGAAGAAAAGUUAAGGUAGGGAAUGACCUUAGCCUGACGGUACCAUACCAGAAAGGGACGGCUAAAUACGUGCCAGCAGCCGCGGUAAUACGUAUGUCCCGAGCGUUAUCCGGAUUUAUUGGGCGUAAAGCGAGCGCAGACGGUUGGUUAAGUCUGAUGUGAAAGCCCGGAGCUCAACUCCGGAAAGGCAUUGGAAACUGGUUAACUUGAGUGCAGUAGAGGUAAGUGGAACUCCAUGUGUAGCGGUGGAAUGCGUAGAUAUAUGGAAGAACACCAGCGGCGAAGGCGGCUUACUGGACUGUAACUGACGUUGAGGCUCGAAAGUGUGGGUAGCAAACAGGAUUAGAUACCCUGGUAGUCCACACCGUAAACGAUGAACACUAGGUGUUAGGAGGUUUCCGCCUCUUAGUGCCGAAGCUAACGCAUUAAGUGUUCCGCCUGGGGAGUACGACCGCAAGGUUGAAACUCAAAGGAAUUGACGGGGACCCGCACAAGCGGUGGAGCAUGUGGUUUAAUUCGAAGCAACGCGAAGAACCUUACCAGGUC
This 946-nucleotide ribosomal RNA is filed under the name Leuconostoc carnosum. RNAcentral describes it as "bacterial SSU rRNA". It matches the Rfam family "Bacterial small subunit ribosomal RNA", at positions 53 to 980 of the family's 1533-position model. The record is from RNAcentral. Lineage: Bacteria; Bacillati; Bacillota; Bacilli; Lactobacillales; Lactobacillaceae.